GAAUUUUGCAGACUCUGGUAGGCAGCCAAUCACAUUUGAGAAUCCUCUGUACUCGACUACAGCCGGCCCAUCCAGCGAUCCAGCAGUAAUACACGCUACUCAGGUCACUGUGAACGUCAGCGGUGACCAGGUGGAGAAUAACUUCUCAAACCCUACGUAUAACGCUCAUGAACAGGCAGUGGAGGUGAAGAGCAGACCUGCAGAGCAAACAACCACACAGGAGUCCAAAUGGAGUUUCUUUAAAAGAAAACUGAAGCCAAGCACAACAUUUGAAAACCCUACAUAUUCAGAGGUG
Sinocyclocheilus grahami is the source of this 295-nucleotide long non-coding RNA. RefSeq lists it as uncharacterized. NCBI's taxonomy places the organism in Eukaryota, Metazoa, Chordata, Actinopteri, Cypriniformes, Cyprinidae. The transcript is spliced from 3 exons. The record is from RefSeq and is a predicted model, not a curated record.